Molecule: non-coding RNA, 769 nt
Organism: Heterocephalus glaber (naked mole-rat)
Lineage: Eukaryota; Metazoa; Chordata; Mammalia; Rodentia; Bathyergidae
Source: RefSeq, a predicted model, not a curated record
UAUGCAGAAGCCAGCACCAGGAGGAAGGAGCCCAAUUUCCUCUCCACAAGAAAGGAAUCAGUGAGAUGAAGAUAGCUGGAAGUGAUAAAGCAAGCCUGCUCUCUCUGUGUGGCCCUCUUCCCUCUGCUCCUCACUUUCUACCCACCUGUGCACAGGGAGGUGGUUUGAGGCAAAUGGGCCACUCUGUCUCCUUGGAGAGGCAGCCAUGCUACCAGGAUCUCAGAUGUCCCUACAGAGACACGCCAUACAAAUCCAGAAAACCCUUCUGCAGGACACAUGUAUCAUUCUGGAGACUGGCCACACCUUAAUGUACCAUGUGACAUUGCAGGAGAGUUGUCCACUGUGAGCAGUGGACACUGUGAGCCUACUAGGUCUGCUACCUCUGGCUGUCUGCUUCCUUGGAGUUACACAGAGCCUGUGCCUCAGGACACAAAAAUCAUGCUUUGUGUAUUUUCAUGGAACUCUUUAUUGUGAAAUACAACACUAAGUCAGCUAAGUGAAUUAUUAUAUUGUCUACACAGGCCUGGAGAGAGACCCUUGCCCACACCUCAGAAGGCCUAGCUACCCUCCUUCAACCACAGAUCUUCCCUCAUGGACUUGGUGUCUAUUCUACACAUGUGGCAGUUACUUCCUGCUCUAUUUAUACUUUUCCACUUAAGAAGUCAUCCUUCUACAUUAUACCAUGCUGUCAGAAUUCUCUGAGACUGACUUUGCUCCCUAUUUUAAUUGUGGGAUUUGUCUUUGUUGAAUGUAGCUUAUUCUUGUUGGA